UUUUUUUUUAUCCUCCCCUUAUCUUUGCCUGCACCGCACCUCCCCAUCUAACAUCUGCUGCAUAUAUACAUGAGAUUUCAGUUGGCUCUUGUAUAAGGUAUGUACAAAAUCCUAUUUCUGUCAUUCACCAGCACUGCUACAAAUCUGCAGUUAUCUCACCAGACUAUUUCUCUGAUGGAUAACUAGUCAUCAUAUCCUGUGAUAUGCAUCUUGUAUUUGACUUUUAUUGCCAUAAAAUCUUCCAACCUAGAUCAUAAAUUUAACUCACCCGGUGAAGAUGUUCUUAUUGAUUCCAUGACCUCAGGUACGGUUUCCCCACCGGAUCAUGU
RNAcentral lists this unclassified non-coding RNA (329 nucleotides) under Hevea brasiliensis (rubber tree). The record is from RNAcentral. Lineage: Eukaryota; Viridiplantae; Streptophyta; Magnoliopsida; Malpighiales; Euphorbiaceae.